Molecule: transfer RNA, 73 nt
Filed under: Chelydra serpentina (North American snapping turtle)
Lineage: Eukaryota; Metazoa; Chordata; Testudines; Chelydridae
Description: tRNA-Lys
Rfam family: tRNA
About the family: Transfer RNA (tRNA) molecules are approximately 80 nucleotides in length. Their secondary structure includes four short double-helical elements and three loops (D, anti-codon, and T loops). Further hydrogen bonds mediate the characteristic L-shaped molecular structure. tRNAs have two regions of fundamental functional importance: the anti-codon, which is responsible for specific mRNA codon recognition, and the 3' end, to which the tRNAs corresponding amino acid is attached (by aminoacyl-tRNA synthetases). tRNAs cope with the degeneracy of the genetic code in two manners: having more than one tRNA (with a specific anti-codon) for a particular amino acid; and 'wobble' base-pairing, i.e. permitting non-standard base-pairing at the 3rd anti-codon position.
Source: RNAcentral
GCCUGGCUAGCUCAAUUGGGAGAGCAUCAGACUUUUAAUCUGAGGGGCCAGGGUUCAUGUCCCUGGUCAGGUG